Molecule: long non-coding RNA, 377 nt
Filed under: Monodelphis domestica (gray short-tailed opossum)
Lineage: Eukaryota; Metazoa; Chordata; Mammalia; Didelphimorphia; Didelphidae
Description: lncRNA (ENSMODG00000047580.1)
Source: RNAcentral
CGAAGAGAGAAGUUGGGAAAAAGACUUUCUCCUGAGGGUUAUCUACUUUUCCUGCUGGUGACUGGAAAUCUUUCCCCCCAACACUUCCCAAUUGAAGGGACUUCUGAAGAGAAACCUGAGCAGAAUUUACCUCAGCUCCUGUUGCCCAGGGGUUUUCCAGUAUCCCUUGGAACACAUCUCCUUUUGAAACAGAAACCCAGAAGAAGGCUCAGACAUGAUUCAUCUGCCUUAACAAGAAGCGGAGAAGGAGAAAUAGCUUUGUCACAAAGGGACAGCAGCUUUGAUUCUUAGUCCAAUUGCAUCCCAAACUAGUGAUAAGUGUGGGAAGACAUCUUCUCUAACUCACAAAAUAAAUCUUAAAAAAUAUUAUUAUUUCA